AUGGCUGUCGUCAGCUCGUGUCGUGAGAUGUUGGGUUAAGUCCCGCAACGAGCGCAACCCUUACUUUUAGUUGCCACCAUUUAGUUGAGCACUCUGAAAGAACUGCCAGUGAUAAGCUGGAGGAAGGUGGGGAUGACGUCAAGUCCUCAUGGCCCUUAUGUGUUGGGCUACACACGUGCUACAAUGGCACUCACAAUAGGAAGCAAAGAGGCGACUCUAAGCAAAUCCUAAAAAAGUGCCUCAGUUCGGAUUGUACUCUGCAACUCGAGUACAUGAAGCUGGAAUUGCUAGUAAUCGCGGAUCAGCACGCCGCGGUGAAUACGUUCCCGGGUCUUGUACACACCGCCCGUCACACCAUGGAAGUUGGUUCUACCUUAAGGCAAAGUAUAAAACCUUUGACCACGGUAUAGUCAGCGACUGGGGUGAAGUCGUAACAAGGUAGCCGUAGGGGAACCUGCGGCUGGAUUACCUCCUUUCUAAGGAUGAUUAAAAAGAUAUUGCUUUUUAAUCUAAAAAAUACACAGGUUAAUGUUGACCGUCCUCAUUUCUCUUCUUAAAAAGUGUUUCGGACUUACAAAAAAUAUGUAGGGGCCGGUAGCUCAGUUGGUUAGAGCGCACCCCUGAUAAGCGUGAGGUCGGUAGUUCAAAUCUACCCAGGCCCACCACAUCAGACGAUGGAUGAUAGUCCUGUGAGGAAAGACGGCUGUAUCCGUGAUAAAUGGUUUUAUCCGAUGGCGUUCGUCGCUUUUGUAUGAACGGGGGUGUAGCUCAGUUGGGAGAGCGCCGGCUUUGCAAGCCGGAGGUCAUCGGUUCGAACCCGUUCACCUCCACCAGUUAACAUUUAUGAAGGCUAAACAUUCAAAUGUGAGUGGUUGGUGCACGGAAGGUGAUCAGGAUUUGGAUCACCGGUGGUUUGGUUGCGAGCUUUAGUUUCAGGUACCACAGGUUUAGGACAACUUAGUCUUGGAUUUAUGAAGUGGAACCUGGGUUGUUUGAAAUCGUGAAUAGGUCUGGCAAAUGAGAUCGCACGACCAGUAGGUCGUUGCGAUCAAGUGGCUGAGUAUGAGUAUACUCUGUGCAGUGCAAGGACGAACCCGCGCACUAUAGCCGAAAUUCGUGACUGUCCUAUUCUUGGGGCGGUUAUUUUUUCGGCGUGCGGUUUGUGGGUACGAUUUUGCGACUGUGCAUGGAGCUCAUCUCAAGUGUGCAAAGGGCAUUUGGUGGAUGCCUUGGCGCUAAGAGGCGAUGAAGGACGUAGCACGUUGCGAUAAGUCCCGGGAAGUUGCGAGCAAACUUUGAUCCGGGAAUUUCCGAAUGGGGAAACCCGG
Molecule: small RNA, 1328 nt
Filed under: uncultured bacterium
Lineage: Bacteria
Description: bacterial SSU rRNA
Rfam family: Bacterial small subunit ribosomal RNA (bases 1-476)
Source: RNAcentral